Molecule: ribosomal RNA, 390 nt
Filed under: uncultured Anoxybacillus sp.
Lineage: Bacteria; Bacillati; Bacillota; Bacilli; Caryophanales; Anoxybacillaceae
Description: bacterial SSU rRNA
Rfam family: Bacterial small subunit ribosomal RNA
Source: RNAcentral
GGAGUACGGUCGGGUCCCGUUUCCCCGGUCGGGGGCGAGGGUGACAGGUGGUGCAUGGUUGUCGUCAGCUCGUGUCGUGAGAUGUUGGGUUAAGUCCCGCAACGAGCGCAACCCUCGACCUUAGUUGCCAGCAUUCAGUUGGGCACUCUAAGGUGACUGCCGGCUAAAAGUCGGAGGAAGGUGGGGAUGACGUCAAAUCAUCAUGCCCCUUAUGACCUGGGCUACACACGUGCUACAAUGGGCGGUACAAAGGGUCGCGAACCCGCGAGGGGGAGCCAAUCCCAAAAAGCCGCUCUCAGUUCGGAUUGCAGGCUGCAACUCGCCUGCAUGAAGCCGGAAUCGCUAGUAAUCGCGGAUCAGCAUGCCGCGGUGAAUACGUUCCCGGGCCUU